AAGGCAGAAACUGAGAUGAGACGAUGAGAGGAAGCCAUGGCGAGUGUCACUGCGGGGAAUGCAAGUGCCAUGCAGGUUACAUCGGGGACAACUGUAACUGCUCGACAGACAUCAGCACAUGCCGGGGCAGAGAUGGCCAGAUCUGCAGCGAGCGUGGGCACUGUCUCUGUGGGCAGUGCCAAUGCACGGAGCCGGGGGCCUUUGGGGAGAUGUGUGAGAAGUGCCCCACCUGCCCGGAUGCAUGCAGCACCAAGAGAGAUUGCGUCGAGUGCCUGCUGCUCCACUCUGGGAAACCUGACAACCAGACCUGCCACAGCCUAUGCAGGGAUGAGGUGAUCACAUGGGUGGACACCAUCGUGAAAGAUGACCAGGAGGCUGUGCUAUGUUUCUACAAAACCGCCAAGGACUGCGUCAUGAUGUUCACCUAUGUGGAGCUCCCCAGUGGGAAGUCCAACCUGACCGUCCUCAGGGAGCCAGAGUGUGGAAACACCCCCAACGCCAUGACCAUCCUCCUGGCUGUGGUCGGUAGCAUCCUCCUUGUUGGGCUUGCACUCCUGGCUAUCUGGAAGCUGCUUGUC
This 578-nucleotide small RNA is filed under the name Pan troglodytes (chimpanzee). RNAcentral describes it as "processed transcript". The record is from RNAcentral. Lineage: Eukaryota; Metazoa; Chordata; Mammalia; Primates; Hominidae.